RNAcentral lists this ribosomal RNA (253 nucleotides) under uncultured bacterium. RNAcentral's name for it is "partial 16S ribosomal RNA". It matches the Rfam family "Bacterial small subunit ribosomal RNA", at positions 524 to 776 of the family's 1533-position model. The record is from RNAcentral.
UACAGAGGAUGCAAGCGUUAUCCGGAAUGAUUGGGCGUAAAGCGUCUGUAGGUGGCUUUUUAAGUCCGCCGUCAAAUCCCAGGGCUCAACUCUGGACAGGCGGUGGAAACUACCAAGCUGGAGUACGGUAGGGGAGACUGGAAUUCCUGGUGUAGCGGUGAAAUGCGCAGAUAUCAGGAGGAACACCGGUGGCGAAGGCGGGUCUCUGGGCCGUAACUGACGCUGAGGAGCGAAAGCGUGGGGAGCGAACAGG